RNAcentral lists this ribosomal RNA (440 nucleotides) under Acinetobacter baumannii. Its description in RNAcentral is "bacterial SSU rRNA". It matches the Rfam family "Bacterial small subunit ribosomal RNA", at positions 338 to 795 of the family's 1533-position model. The record is from RNAcentral. Lineage: Bacteria; Pseudomonadati; Pseudomonadota; Gammaproteobacteria; Moraxellales; Moraxellaceae.
CCUACGGGAGGCAGCAGUGGGGAAUAUUGCACAAUGGAGGAAACUCUGAUGCAGCGAUGCCGCGUGAGGGAAGAAGGUUUUCGGAUUGUAAACCUCUGUCUUCAGGGACGAUAAUGACGGUACCUGAGGAGGAAGCUCCGGCUAACUACGUGCCAGCAGCCGCGGUAAUACGUAGGGAGCGAGCGUUGUCCGGAAUUACUGGGUGUAAAGGGAGCGUAGGCGGGAUCUUAAGUCAGGUGUGAAAACUAUGGGCUCAACCCAUAGACUGCACUUGAAACUGAGGUUCUUGAGUGAAGUAGAGGCAGGCGGAAUUCCUAGUGUAGCGGUGAAAUGCGUAGAUAUUAGGAGGAACAUCAGUGGCGAAGGCGGCCUGCUGGGCUUUUACUGACGCUGAGGCUCGAAAGCGUGGGGAGCAAACAGGAUUAGAUACCCCGGUAGUC